AGAGUUUGAUCCUGGCUCAGAACGAACGCUGGCGGCGCGUUUUAAGCAUGCAAGUCGAGCGGUAAGCAUCCUUCGGGAUGCCUAGAGCGGCGAACGGGUGAGUAACACGUAGGUAAUCUGCCGUGCGAUUGGGGAUAGCCCAUGGAAACAUGGGGUAAUACCGAAUACGACCUUCGGGGGAAAGGCGCUUCGGCGCCGUCGUACGAUGAGCCUGCGGCGCAUUAGUUAGUUGGCGGGGUAACAGCCCACCAAGGCGACGAUGCGUAGCCGACCUGAGAGGGUGAUCGGCCACACUGGGACUGAGAUGCGGCCCAGACUCCUACGGGAGGCAGCAGCUAAGAAUCUUCCGCAAUGGACGAAAGUCUGACGGAGCGACGCCGCGUGGAUGAAGAAGGCUUAACGGUUGUAAAAUCCUUUUCUGCGUGAGGAAUAAGCAUCGGAGGCAAUGCCGGUGCGAUGACGGUAGCGCAGGAAUAAGCCCCGGCCAAUUACGUGCCAGCAGCCGCGGUAACACGUAUGGGGCGAGCGUUGUUCGGAAUUAUUGGGCGUAAAGGGCGCGCAGGCGGUCAUGCAAGCUUGGUGUGAAAGACCACGGCUCAACGGUGGAAACGCGCUGAGAACUGUAUGACUUGAGUUUCGGAGGGGGAACUGGAAUUCCAGGUGUA
This 665-nucleotide ribosomal RNA is filed under the name uncultured bacterium. RNAcentral's name for it is "bacterial SSU rRNA". It matches the Rfam family "Bacterial small subunit ribosomal RNA", at positions 8 to 677 of the family's 1533-position model. The record is from RNAcentral.